CCUCUCGUGGCUUAGUGGUCAGAGUAUUGGUGCAUAAAACCAAUGAUUCUGGGUUCGAUUCCUGGCGAAGGUC
This 73-nucleotide transfer RNA is filed under the name Agrilus planipennis (emerald ash borer). It matches the Rfam family "tRNA". From Rfam's summary of the family: Transfer RNA (tRNA) molecules are approximately 80 nucleotides in length. The record is from Rfam by way of RNAcentral. Lineage: Eukaryota; Metazoa; Arthropoda; Insecta; Coleoptera; Buprestidae.